Molecule: ribosomal RNA, 941 nt
Filed under: Campylobacter jejuni
Lineage: Bacteria; Pseudomonadati; Campylobacterota; Epsilonproteobacteria; Campylobacterales; Campylobacteraceae
Description: bacterial SSU rRNA
Rfam family: Bacterial small subunit ribosomal RNA
Source: RNAcentral
UUGUGAAAUCUAAUGGCUUAACCAUUAAACUGCUUGGGAAACUGAUAGUCUAGAGUGAGGGAGAGGCAGAUGGAAUUGGUGGUGUAGGGGUAAAAUCCGUAGAUAUCACCAAGAAUACCCAUUGCGAAGGCGAUCUGCUGGAACUCAACUGACGCUAAGGCGCGAAAGCGUGGGGAGCAAACAGGAUUAGAUACCCUGGUAGUCCACGCCCUAAACGAUGUACACUAGUUGUUGGGAUGCUAGUCAUCUCAGUAAUGCAGCUAACGCAUUAAGUGUACCGCCUGGGGAGUACGGUCGCAAGAUUAAAACUCAAAGGAAUAGACGGGGACCCGCACAAGCGGUGGAGCAUGUGGUUUAAUUCGAAGAUACGCGAAGAACCUUACCUGGGCUUGAUAUCCUAAGAACCUUAUAGAGAUAUGAGGGUGCUAGCUUGCUAGAACUUAGAGACAGGUGCUGCACGGCUGUCGUCAGCUCGUGUCGUGAGAUGUUGGGUUAAGUCCCGCAACGAGCGCAACCCACGUAUUUAGUUGCUAACGGUUCGGCCGAGCACUCUAAAUAGACUGCCUUCGUAAGGAGGAGGAAGGUGUGGACGACGUCAAGUCAUCAUGGCCCUUAUGCCCAGGGCGACACACGUGCUACAAUGGCAUAUACAAUGAGACGCAAUACCGCGAGGUGGAGCAAAUCUAUAAAAUAUGUCCCAGUUCGGAUUGUUCUCUGCAACUCGAGAGCAUGAAGCCGGAAUCGCUAGUAAUCGUAGAUCAGCCAUGCUACGGUGAAUACGUUCCCGGGUCUUGUACUCACCGCCCGUCACACCAUGGGAGUUGAUUUCACUCGAAGCCGGAAUACUAAACUAGUUACCGUCCACAGUGGAAUCAGCGACUGGGGUGAAGUCGUAACAAGGUAACCGUAGGAGAACCUGCGGUUGGAUCACCUCCUUUCUA